CGUCAAGUCCUCAUGGCCCUUAUGUCCAGGGCUACACACGUGCUACAAUGGCCGGUACAAAGGGCUGCAAGACCGUGAGGUUGAGCGAAUCCCAAGAAAGCCCGGUCUUCAGUUCGGAUUGGAGUCUGCAACUCGACUCCAUGAAGUUGGAAUCGCUAGUAAUCGCGGAUCAGCAUGCCGCGGUGAAUACGUUCCCGGGCCUU
This 203-nucleotide ribosomal RNA is filed under the name uncultured Desulfuromonas sp. RNAcentral's name for it is "partial 16S ribosomal RNA". It matches the Rfam family "Bacterial small subunit ribosomal RNA", at positions 1183 to 1382 of the family's 1533-position model. Lineage: Bacteria; Pseudomonadati; Thermodesulfobacteriota; Desulfuromonadia; Desulfuromonadales; Desulfuromonadaceae. The record is from RNAcentral.